Small nuclear RNA from Callithrix jacchus (white-tufted-ear marmoset), 107 nucleotides. The record is from Ensembl. Lineage: Eukaryota; Metazoa; Chordata; Mammalia; Primates; Cebidae.
GUGCUCUCUUAGGCAGCACCUACACUAAAAUUGGGACGAUACAUAGAAGGUGGGCAUGGCCUCUACAGAAGUACGACACAAAACGGUGUGCAGUGUUUCGUUUUUUU